CAGUAGCCGCGGGAAAACGGAGGGGGCUAGCGUUGUUCGGAAUUACUGGGCGUAAAGCGCACGUAGGCGGCUUGGUAAGUUAGAGGUGAAAGCCUGGAGCUCAACUCCAGAAUUGCCUUUAAGACUGCCGAGCUAGCAGGUGAGAGAGGUAAGUGGAAUUCCGAGUGUAGAGGCGAAAUUCGUAGAUAUUCGGAAGAACACCAGUGGCGAAGGCGGCUUACUGGCUCAUACUGGACGCUGAGGUGCGAAAGCGUGGGGAGCAAACAGGAUUAGAUACCCCAGUAGUCCCUGUCUCUUAUAC
This 301-nucleotide ribosomal RNA is filed under the name uncultured bacterium. RNAcentral describes it as "partial 16S ribosomal RNA". It matches the Rfam family "Bacterial small subunit ribosomal RNA", at positions 509 to 807 of the family's 1533-position model. The record is from RNAcentral.